Molecule: RNA transcript, 496 nt
Organism: Rhinopithecus roxellana (golden snub-nosed monkey)
Lineage: Eukaryota; Metazoa; Chordata; Mammalia; Primates; Cercopithecidae
Gene name: HIG1 domain family member 1A, mitochondrial pseudogene
Exons: 2
Source: RefSeq, a predicted model, not a curated record
AUGCUGUGUGUAGCCGGACAGGUUAAGACUGCAGGGAUCGGAAGACGGUUGGCGUGUGAGAGGUUUUCUCGCUCUAGGGUGAUUCUUCAAGCAGUCACUAUAUCAACAGACACAGGUGUUUCCCUUCCUUCAUAUGAGGAAGAUCAGAGAUCCAAACUUAUUCGAAAAGCUAAGGAGGCACCAUUCGUACCCGUUGGAAUAGCAGGUUUUGCAGCAAUUGUUGCAUAUGGAUUAUACAAACUGAAGAGCAGGGGAAAUACUAAAAUGUCCCUUCAUCUGAUCCACAUGCGUGUGGCAGCCCAAGGCUUUGUUGUAGGAGCAAUGACUGUCGGUAUGGGCUAUUCCAUGUAUCGGGAAUUCUGGGCAAAACCUAAGCCUUAGAAGAAGAGAUGCUGUCUUGGUCUUGUUGGAGGAGCUUGCUUUAGUUAGAUGUCUCAUUAUUGAAGUUACCUAUUAUUGUUGAAAAUAAAUUAAUUUGUAUGGAUUUAGAUGGUAA